CAGUAGCCACGGUAAUACGUAGGUGGCAAGCGUUGUCCGGAAUUACUGGGCGUAAAGCGUGCGCAGGCGGUUCGUUAAGACAGAUGUGAAAUCCCCGGGCUUAACCUGGGAACUGCAUUUGUGACUGGCGAGCUAGAGUAUGGCAGAGGGGGGUAGAAUUCCACGUGUAGCAGUGAAAUGCGUAGAGAUGUGGAGGAAUACCGAUGGCGAAGGCAGCCCCCUGGGCCAAUACUGACGCUCAUGCACGAAAGCGUGGGGAGCAAACAGGAUUAGAUACCCCGGUAGUCCCUGUCUCUUAUAC
RNAcentral lists this ribosomal RNA (301 nucleotides) under uncultured bacterium. Its description in RNAcentral is "partial 16S ribosomal RNA". It matches the Rfam family "Bacterial small subunit ribosomal RNA", at positions 509 to 807 of the family's 1533-position model. The record is from RNAcentral.